GUAACAGAUGCAGACGGUGCCAGACAACUGUCUGGGUUCAUGUAAAGUCAGAGGGGGAAUUACACAAAGGGGGAUAACAGGGAAUCUCGGGAAACCCUCCCACCAGAGAGGCCUCCAUCAUUCUAUGACUCCACAAACUCUCUCUCCCCACCCGCUCCCGCCCCCAGCUGGGAGGAUACUCCAUUGCGAACAAAGCCAUAGGAAUACAGAAAUGCUCAUUUCAUUCAGCAUCAGCCAUUGAGAUCUUACAGAUAAAGGUAUUGAAUUCUGCAAAAUGGUUUUCUUUGCUAUGAUUUCUUUGCUAUGUUUUCAUCUGCUUAGAAGGAUGAAAAACUCACCACUUUCCUUCCCUUUCAGAUUUUAAUGGAUUAAUUCAAAAACUCAAUCUGAAAAUGAGCUUUCAAAUUUAAACCUGAACCUCUACAAAAGAAAGAGGAUAGGGCCAGAGGAAGACAGACCUGGGAGAGGAGAGACCUUCCCACUCCCAGUAUUCUCCCAAAUUCUGUUCACUGGCACUCCUUUUUCUUUUCAUUCAAUUUUCGUUUCUAAUUUUUAUGGCUACAUAGUAGAUGUCUAUAUUUACGGGGUACAUGAGAUGUUUUGAUACAGGCAUGCAAUGUGUAAUAAUCACAUCAUGGAGAAUGGGGUAUCCAUCCCCUCAAGCAUUUAUCCUUUGUGUUAUAAACAAUCAAAUUAUACUCUUAGUUAUUUUGAAAUGUGCGAUGAAAUAUUAUUGACUAUAGUCACCUCAUUGUGCUGCUAAAUCAUAGGCCUUAUUCAUUGUUUCUAACUAAUUUUUUUUGUAUGCAUGGCACUCCUUUCUCUGAAAAAGCACAUCGGUUAGUUACAGAUGACGAAAUUACGGAAGUGAUUAAGACAUAAUGACCAACAGUCCUUUUCAAAUUGGGGCAGAAGUAGAAGAAAGAAGGAGGUGGGAACGCCUCAGGUUUGUUGCUGCUGACUCUACAGUUGCUUUAUUGUGUGAACUCAAGAAUAAUGAGAAAGGACAGUUGGGGGAAAAUGUAACAAAUUGGAAAAUAAUAAGAUCUAAUGCAUUAUGAAGUGCUUGCUCAAUGCCAGCAGUCAGCUAAGCACUCCAUACUUACUAACUCAUUUACUUCUCACGAUUCUGUGAGACUGGGAGGAUUAUUAACCACACUUUACAUGAGGAAAUGAAGCACAGAGAGGUCAAGUAACCUAUAAAAGACACACAGCUAGCAGGCUUAUCUGGCUCCAGUGUAUGCAUUUGGCAGUGUGGCUCUAGAAUCUGGUUUUGUUUGUUAACCACUAGCCAGCAUCGCCUCUUUAUAUUUUAGCAUGUAUUCCACAAGAAAUUAUCGAGCUGCAUAUGCAUAGUAGGACGAAGAGGAAAAUUAGCAGGGAGAUUCAAGAAAGUUAAAAUAGGAAGUAGCUAAGGUAAGAAGCGCCACCAAUUUAAGGACUGAGAGUCUGGUGGCAGAUUGUCCAGGGCUGCCCAUUCAGAUACUCAGGAAACAACCUGGAGGCACAGCUUUCAAGUUCUUACUUCUUCCGAGCUGAAAACAACAUGGUGCAUCCCCAGCAAGUCUCCUUUGGGAAAUCACCCAUCUGCAUAGGGUGGCCUGUCCUGCUCCAGGCUGCCUAAGUCACAGUCCUUCAGCUCAGGAAAGGGACGAUCUCAGAGCUUGCCUGUUCCCACCCUGCCUUCAGCUUUUGCUAUUGGAUCAUUUCUUCCAGAGCAGCACCCACAUCAGAAUCAGAGCUGAGCCACUCGGUUUCUCUUUCCACCUUUCUUAUUUUUUCUCUCCUGGGAAUAAAUGUCCCUUUCACUUCAUGGAACAACCAACCAUCAGCUUUGGAAAGGGCCUUAGUGAUGAUCCAGUUAGGGGU
Molecule: long non-coding RNA, 1869 nt
Organism: Callithrix jacchus (white-tufted-ear marmoset)
Lineage: Eukaryota; Metazoa; Chordata; Mammalia; Primates; Cebidae
Source: Ensembl